This 1448-nucleotide ribosomal RNA is filed under the name uncultured bacterium. RNAcentral's name for it is "partial 16S ribosomal RNA". It matches the Rfam family "Bacterial small subunit ribosomal RNA". The record is from RNAcentral.
GAGUUUGAUCCUGGCUCAGAACGAACGCUGGCGGCAGGCCUCAUACAUGCAAGUCGAACGCCCCUUCGGGGGAGUGGCAGACGGGUGAGUAACACGUGGGAACCUACCCAGAGGUUCGGAAUAACUCAGGGAAACUUGAGCUAAUACCGGAUAAGCCUUGCGAGGGAAAGAUUCAUCGCCUUUGGAUGGGCCCGCGGCAGAUUAGUUUGUUGGUGGGGUAAUGGCCUACCAAGACUACGAUCUGUAGCUGGUUUGAGAGGAUGAUCAGCCACACUGGGACUGAGACACGGCCCAGACUCCUACGGGAGGCAGCAGUAGGGAAUCUUGCACAAUGGGCGAAAGCCUGAUGCAGCCAUGCCGCGUGAGUGAAAGAAGGCUUUAGGGUUGUAAAACUCUUUCAGCGGGGAAGAUAAUGACGGUACCCGCAGAAGAAGCCCCGGCUAACUCCGUGCCAGCAGCCGCGGUAAUACGGAGGGGGCUAGCGUUGUUCGGAAUUACUGGGCGUAAAGCGCGCGUAGGCGGUCCAGAAAGUCUGCUGUUAAAACGUGGAGCUUAACUCCAUCAUGGCAGUGGAAACUGUUGGGCUUGAGUGUGGUAGGGGCAGAGGGAAUUCCCGGUGUAGCGGUGAAAUGCGUAGAUAUCGGGAAGAACACCAGUGGCGAAGGCGCUCUGCUGGGCCAUAACUGACGCUCAUGGACGAAAGCCAGGGGAGCGAAAGGGAUUAGAUACCCCUGUAGUCCUGGCCGUAAACGAUGAACACUAGGUGUCGGGGGAAUCGACCCCCUCGGUGUCGUAGCCAACGCGUUAAGUGUUCCGCCUGGGGAGUACGCACGCAAGUGUGAAACUCAAAGGAAUUGACGGGGGCCCGCACAAGCGGUGGAGUAUGUGGUUUAAUUCGAUGCAACGCGAAGAACCUUACCAGGGUUUGACAUCCUGCGAACCUCUUGGAAACGAGAGGGUGCCUUCGGGAACGCAGUGACAGGUGGUGCAUGGCUGUCGUCAGCUCGUGUCGUGAGAUGUUGGGUUAAGUCCCGCAACGAGCGCAACCCACGUCUUUAGUUGCCAGCAUUUAGUUGGGCACUCUAGAGAGACCGCCGGUGAUAAACCGGAGGAAGGUGUGGAUGACGUCAAGUCAUCAUGCCCCUUACAUCCUGGGCUACACACGUACUACAAUGCUACGGACAAAGGGCAGCAAGUUCGCGAGGACAAGCAAAUCCCAUAAACCGUGGCUCAGUUCAGAUCGUAGGCUGCAACUCGCCUACGUGAAGGAGGAAUCGCUAGUAAUCGCAGGUCAGCAUACUGCGGUGAAUACGUUCCCGGGCCUUGUACACACCGCCCGUCACACCAUGGAAGUUGGCCACGCCCGAAGCCGUUACUCCAACCCUUGUGGAGGAGGACGUCGAAGGUGGGGCUGAUGACUGGGAUGAAGUCGUCACAAGGUAACCGUA